GGCCAGGCCAGUCUCGCUUCCUACUGCCCCAGGGGCUGAAGGGACCACCUGUGCACCUGGGGAGGCAGGGGCACUGGGGGAACCUCAGCCUUGUCCCUGCCAGCAUGUGUGAGGCCCCCACUCUGUCCCUCCCCUGAGCCAGCAGCCAGCUGGUGCUCCUUCCCUGUCUCCAUACCCCCCACCACUCACCCGAUCCCAUUCCUUGGUCCCCCCAGGACCCAGCCCAGGACCCAGCCCAGGACCCAGCCCAGGGUCAGAGGCCAGGCGUUUUCAGAUCACUCAAGCUCCCCAGCCCAAGAGAGACACCCCCCACCCAGAGCAAGGCACCCUCUCCGCCUCCUGCUCCACCCCACCCUGCCCUGGGGAGGUGUUCCCGGUGCUGGUUUCUGGGGGUGGGCCACGGGUCUCUGCAGGGCUGGAAAUGCUUUCUCCACAAGUUUUUAUCACUCUGCCUCAGCCUCGUCCGCCCCCUGGUCCUGUGGCCAGCCCACCGCCUACGGCCCCCUCUCCCUGCUUUGGCCUGGCUGGCGGCCCCACGCGGUAGCCCCGCAGCCCCGGGGCCUUCAGCAGGUGGGCCAGGAGGCGGCGGCCACCGCAGGCAGCCCCGCCGGGGUUCAGGGCGGCCUCGGAUCGCGGAGGCUCUACUUCCGAUUUUCCGGAAGAUGCUGCUCGUUCACGAUCAUUGUUCUUUCCUUCUGGGGCAUGAGAAAGCAGGUUCCGCGCACAAUUGGAAGAGCAGCAGGUCAAGGUUCCCAGAGUAUGAAAUGUCUGCCUCCGUCGGCAAUGACAUUCUCCCAGAGGCACUAAAAAUAGAUGCAGAACAGAAGCAUCAAGUCCCUGGAGGCUGGAGAGAGACAACAAGAAAGUGAACUUGAGAAGGGUCAGCAUGGAAGGACUUUGCUCUUUCAAGUUUAUCAAAAAAACAGGUCAUGCAAAAAAUCCUUUGAGGCUCUUGUCUUUGAAGAGAUAAGUGAAUGAUGCAGGACCUGGAAGGAACUUAACAUAGUUUCUCGCUUCAUCUACGAGCCGACUGUCCCGUCAGGAUUGCUCUCCCUGCAGCAUAAGAAGAGCCUGAGGGCCACAGAACCUCAGGAGCCUCGCCCUUGAGACUUGGGGUGUCGGCGAAGGCUUCCCAGAGGGGCGGCCUGAGUGGGCUUAAGCAGGGCACCCAGGAGUUCCUUGAGUGGCGGAGGAAAGGUGGGUGCGUUUCUGGCCCCGAGCCGUGAUGGAGGGGAGGUGUGGGAGGGUGGGGUCUGCCGUGGCCCAGUUGCCUCACCAGACCCGGAGCUUCCGGGGUGGGACUUGGGGAUGACCCAGGGCAGAGCCUGUCUUGGCCAAAGACAGCUGGCCCAGAGCAGGGCCCUUAGCCCUUGAGCCUGGCUGAGUCCUACCAGCCCCUCUCUGAGUGCCCUUGGACAAGCAUCUCCCCUCUCGGACGGUCAGCUACUCCGUGUGUAAGGUGAGGACAGCGGGCAGAUUCCGUGUGAGCACCUGUUGAUGCCGGCUGGGCCCUGGGGAGCCCGGAGACGUGUGCCCACCUCCAGAGGGGCUGCAGAGAAAGCCGGGAGCCCAGCCUUGUGCCUGGACAGCACUGCUGCCUGGACCAUCUGGGGCUCCUGGGUCCAAACAGGGAAUGCUCCCGGGUGGGCUCAAGGAUGCGAGUCACAUCACAACGGAGGCUCCCUCUCCUGCCGUGCCCGGGGUGCGGCCGAGCCCACGCUGCCACUGCAUAAGGACCACCGCUGCCACCGCAGCCCGUUAUGUUACCACAUAAAUGGAGCCGCCUACUUAUCUCCUUGGGGGAAGGGACCGGCCUGUCUGAGGGGGCGGCAGAGAUGAGCUCAGAGGCCUGGGCUCUGCCUUUGGUUAUGCUCCGUGUGUGCACGCAUCCUGGGCCUAGCGGCCGGGCUCAGGUGUAGGCAACGGGAAACAAGGUCCUGGAAGCGCAGGCCACGUGCCUUUGGGUUGCCCACUUGGUUGGCAGCAGCCAGCCUUGGCUGGGGGAGGCAGGGCUUCCUCUGCCAGCAGCAGGAGGUCCUGCCUGGGUCACAUCUGGGCGGCAGGCAUCUAGUGCCCACCCGCCAUGGCUGCAAGGUUCUGCCUGCUGCUGGUGCCGCUCGGCUGCGCUAGGUGGGCAGGUGGCCUUCUGCACAGGGUGGUAGGGGGCUCCGAGACUAGAGGAGCAGGCCCUGGGGACACCCUGGGGUCAGCAGUCUUUGUCUCCUAGGGCACAAAAUUUUUUCUUUUACUGUAGUAUAGUCACUUUACAGUGUUGUGUCAGUUUCUGGGGCACAGCAUGUUUCAGUCAUACGUGUACAUGCAUAUGUUCAUUUCCAUAUUCUUUUUCACUA
Vicugna pacos (alpaca) is the source of this 2351-nucleotide non-coding RNA. NCBI's taxonomy places the organism in Eukaryota, Metazoa, Chordata, Mammalia, Artiodactyla, Camelidae. The record is from RefSeq and is a predicted model, not a curated record.